This 497-nucleotide ribosomal RNA is filed under the name uncultured bacterium. Its description in RNAcentral is "partial 16S ribosomal RNA". It matches the Rfam family "Bacterial small subunit ribosomal RNA", at positions 28 to 507 of the family's 1533-position model. The record is from RNAcentral.
GAUGAACGCUGGCGGCGUGCCUAAUACAUGCAAGUCGAGCGAACAGACGAGGAGCUUGCUCCUCUGACGUUAGCGGCGGACGGGUGAGUAACACGUGGAUAACCUACCUAUAAGCCUGGGAUAACUUCGGGAAACCGGAGCUAAUACCGGAUAAUAUAUUGAACCGCAUGGUUCAAUAGUGAAAGACGGUUUUGCUGUCACUUAUAGAUGGAUCCGCGCCGCAUUAGCUAGUUGGUAAGGUAACGGCUUACCAAGGCAACGAUGCGUAGCCGACCUGAGAGGGUGAUCGGCCACACUGGAACUGAGACACGGUCCAGACUCCUACGGGAGGCAGCAGUAGGGAAUCUUCCGCAAAGGGCGAAAGCCUGACGGAGCAACGCCGCGUGAGUGAUGAAGGUCUUCGGAUCGUAAAACUCUGUUAUUAGGGAAGAACAAAUGUGUAAGUAACUAUGCACGUCUUGACGGUACCUAAUCAGAAAGCCACGGCUAACUACGUG